Molecule: RNA transcript, 1217 nt
Organism: Xiphophorus hellerii (green swordtail)
Lineage: Eukaryota; Metazoa; Chordata; Actinopteri; Cyprinodontiformes; Poeciliidae
Gene name: myosin light polypeptide 6
Exons: 7
Source: RefSeq, a predicted model, not a curated record
UUCAGGUUGUCUUAGAUGUCGGGAAUGGCUCCUAAAAGAGAACCCUCCAUUAAGAAGACUCCUUCACCAGUGGCUGAAGCACGACUUGGUCCGCCUUUCCCCUGUCUGCCAGCAACACCUGCAGCUCCGAAACCAAUUUCAGAGCAGAAGCCAAGGAUGCUGCGUCCUUCUGAUUCACCAUUCGACCCCAGCACUAUGGAGAUUGAAUUUAACCUGGACCAGAUUCAUGAGUUUAAGGAGGCGUUCCUGCUGUUCGACAGGACAGGAGAUGGGAAGAUCAGCUACAGCCAGUGUGGCGACGUGAUGCGGGCCUUGGGACAGAACCCUGUCAACGCUGAGGUGCUUAAAGUGCUGGGCAACCCCAAAUCUGAGGAGAUGAACACCAAGAUGCUCGACUUUGAGCAGUUCCUGCCCAUGUUCCAGGCCAUCGCCAAAAACAAAGAUCAGGGCUCCAUGGAGGAUUUUGUGGAAGGACUCCGUGUUUUUGACAAGGAAGGCAACGGCACAGUAAUGGGAGCAGAAUUACGUCAUGUGCUCACCACGUUAGGUGAGAAAAUGUCAGAAGAGGAAGUGGAGACACUGCUGGCUGGACAUGAAGAUGCAAAUGGAUGCAUCAAUUAUGAAGCAUUUGUUCGUCACAUCAUGUCAGGCUGAGGGCCGGUACGGGCAUUGUCCAAACCCGGGGGAUGGCACCUCCAGGCUUUCCUGCUACUUAGUUCCUAGACACUAAACUCGUCCGGAUGGUAAUGAACGGAUAAAGAGCGCCACAGUUUUUUUUUUGUUUUUUUUUCAUUUUCGCAGAAUCACAUUCCUAUAUAUUUCCAUUUAGCUUUACCAGCUCACCCCAACCUUUUACAUGAGUUUAUUUUACAGUUUUAAUUUAAGAAGUGCCUUUACAUUCCCUAGAAAAGACCAUAAAGCACCAUUUUUAGAUCUAUUCACAUGUAUAAACCUUGUAUUCAUUGAGGAUUAUUUGUGCUUGCAUAGUUUGUAACAUUUCGAAAUGCACCAUAAGCUGUAACGAUGUAACUAAAAUUGGGCAAGACAAUAAUAUAUAUCGUAUAUACAUAUUUCUAUGACUUGCUUUGGAUUAAAUGUCCCAGAUUGAUUCAUAAAAAUAUCAAAAGCUGUAGUUGGAAACAUUUCAAAGCAUUCCCCAUGUUAUAAAUUUGGCCCAAAAUUUGUUGCUGCAUUUAAAUAAAUGUGUUUUCCUGAAA